Molecule: ribosomal RNA, 369 nt
Filed under: uncultured organism
Description: bacterial SSU rRNA
Rfam family: Bacterial small subunit ribosomal RNA
Source: RNAcentral
GAAGGGGGCUAGCGUUGCUCGGAUUUACUGGGCGUAAAGGGCGCGUAGGCGGACAGUUUAGUCAGAGGUGAAAGCCCAGGGCUCAACCUUGGAAUUGCCUUUGAUACUGGCUGUCUUGAGUACGGGAGAGGUGAGUGGAACUCCGAGUGUAGAGGUGAAAUUCGUAGAUAUUCGGAAGAACACCAGUGGCGAAGGCGACUCACUGGCCCGUUACUGACGCUGAGGCGCGAAAGCGUGGGGAGCAAACAGGAUUAGAUACCCUGGUAGUCCACGCUGUAAACGAUGAGUGCUAGUUGUCGGGCGGCAUGCCGUUCGGUGACGCAGCUAACGCAUUAAGCACUCCGCCUGGGGAGUACGGUCGCAAGAUUA